GGUGAACGCUAGCUACAGGCUUAACACAUGCAAGUCGAGGGGAAACGACAUCGAAAGCUUGCUUUUGAUGGGCGUCGACCGGCGCACGGGUGAGUAACGCGUAUCCAACCUGCCCACCACUUGGGGAUAACCUUGCGAAAGUAAGACUAAUACCCAAUGACGUCUCUAGAAGACAUCUGAAAGGGGUUAAAGAUUUAUCGGUGAUGGAUGGGGAUGCGUCUGAUUAGCUUGUUGGCGGGGUAACGGCCCACCAAGGCUACGAUCAGUAGGGGUUCUGAGAGGAAGGUCCCCCACAUUGGAACUGAGACACGGUCCAAACUCCUACGGGAGGCAGCAGUGAGGAAUAUUGGUCAAUGGACGAGAGUCUGAACCAGCCAAGUAGCGUGCAGGAUGACGGCCCUAUGGGUUGUAAACUGCUUUUAUAAGGGAAUAAAGUGAGUCUCGUGAGACUUUUUGCAUGUACCUUAUGAAUAAGGACCGGCUAAUUCCGUGCCAGCCGCCGCGGUAA
Molecule: ribosomal RNA, 508 nt
Filed under: uncultured bacterium
Lineage: Bacteria
Description: partial 16S ribosomal RNA
Rfam family: Bacterial small subunit ribosomal RNA
Source: RNAcentral